RNAcentral lists this ribosomal RNA (391 nucleotides) under Pseudocalanus sp. RNAcentral describes it as "partial small subunit ribosomal RNA". It matches the Rfam family "Eukaryotic small subunit ribosomal RNA", at positions 582 to 975 of the family's 1831-position model. Lineage: Eukaryota; Metazoa; Arthropoda; Copepoda; Calanoida; Clausocalanidae. The record is from RNAcentral.
AUUCCAGCUCCAAUAGCGUAUAUUAAAGUUGUUGUGGUUAAAAAGCUCGUAGUUGGAUCUCGGCGGUCUGAGGGCGGUUCGCUUCAGAGCGCUACUGCCCUAUAGACCGUAGUUUUGCCAGAGGUCUCAGGGUGCUCUUAACCGAGUGUCUUGCGAUGCUGGCAGGUUUACUUUGAAAAAAUUAGAGUGCUCAAAGCAGGCUUUUACGCCUGAAUAUUCGUGCAUGGAAUAAUAGAAUAGGAAGUCGUUUCUAUUUUGUUGGUUUUCGGAAAUCGACUUAAUGAUUAAUAGGGAUAGUCGGGGGCAUUCGUAUUCAAACGACAGAGGUGAAAUUCUUGGACCGUUUGAAGACGAACUAAGGCGAAAGCAUUUGCCAAGAAUGUUUUCAUUG